RNA transcript from Aethalodelphis obliquidens (Pacific white-sided dolphin), 4900 nucleotides. It is a transcript of the gene named HECT domain E3 ubiquitin protein ligase 2, with no coding region annotated. The transcript has 21 exons. NCBI's taxonomy places the organism in Eukaryota, Metazoa, Chordata, Mammalia, Artiodactyla, Delphinidae. The record is from RefSeq and is a predicted model, not a curated record.
GGCGCGGGCGGGGGCGGAGCGGCGGCUGAGGUUGGACGCGACGGCGCAGAGCCCUCUCGCGGCCGCGGCGGCAGCAGCGCCAGCCCCAGCAGCAGCCCGGCCGCCGCUGCCGCCGCCGCCUAGCGCUCCCGCUGCUCAGCUUGACAUGAGUGAGGUGGAUCGGGUGCCCUCGCCCGCCGCGCCGCCGGCUGUGGCGGCGACUGCGCCCGAGGAGAAGAAAGGGAAGGAACCGGAGCGCGAGAAGCUGCCGCCCAUCGUGUCGGCUGGCGCCGGUGCGACUGCGGGUUUGGACAGGGGAUCCAAAGGCCAGAUUUCUACUUCCAGCAGUUUUGUUUCAACUGUUAACCAGAAGAAAGAAGCUGCUGAAAACAGAAGUUCACCUACACAUCUUGUUUUCCCUAACAUCAAGAAUGUGAGAGACCUACCACCAAUUUGCCUUGAUGUUAGACAGAAACAGCGCACCUCUACAGAUGCUUUAUCAUCUGAAAUGAAGACCCCAGUUCUUCCAGAACCCAUCCUUCCCGUUCAGCCAAAAACUAUGAAAGACUUUCUGGAAGAUGUAGAAAAAGCUAAGUCAUCAGGAGAUUGGAAAACAGUACAUGAUUUUUAUCUCACAAUGUUUGAUUCUUUCCCAGAACUAAAUGCUGCAUUUAAGAAAGAUGCCUCUGCCUCGUUUAAUACUAUCGAAGACUCUGGGAUUAAUGCUAAAUUUGUGAAUGCUGUAUAUGAUGCCUUACUUAAUACUCCUCAAGACAUUCAGAAGACAGUAUUAAAGGGAAUCAUUAACAGCCUGUUACGAGAAUGGAAAGGUCCACGAACAAAAGAUGAUCUUAGAGCAUAUUUUAUACUUUUACAGAAUCCUCAAUUUAAUAACACAUCUACAUAUGUCAUCUAUGCUCACUUGCUACGACAGAUAGCUACCUUAGUGGAAGCUGACCAUCAUUUCCUAGUUCACUGGUUUAAAAAAUUAUCCCAGAAGAGGUUCAAACAAUUGGUAGAGAGAUUGCUGCAGUUUAUUUCUUUACGCCUGUUUCCUGCAAAGCCUGAAGAAUUUCCACCUAUAUCAAAGUGUUCCUGGUGGAUCCCAUCAGCAUCUAAAGUGUUGGCUUUACUUAAUACUGCAAACAAUUUGGUUCAUCCUCCCCUUAUUCCUUAUACUGAUUUCUAUAAUUCUACAUUGGAUCAUAUUGAUCUCAUGGAAGAAUACCACACCUGGCAGAGCUUUGGAAAUUCUCACAGGUUUUCCUUCUGUCAGUACCCAUUCGUUAUUUCUAUAGCUGCAAAAAAAAUCAUUAUUCAAAGAGACUCAGAGCAACAGAUGAUAAGCAUCGCAAGGCAAAGUCUGGUGGAUAAAGUAUCUCGAAGACAGAGACCUGAUAUGAAUAUGUUAUUUCUAAAUAUGAAAGUAAGGCGGACACAUCUGGUCAGCGAUUCUCUUGAUGAGUUAACCCGGAAAAGAGCAGACUUGAAAAAGAAGUUGAAAGUUACGUUUGUAGGGGAAGCUGGUUUGGAUAUGGGCGGCUUGACUAAAGAAUGGUUCCUUCUUUUAAUUCGCCAAAUUUUUCAUCCCGAUUAUGGCAUGUUUACGUAUCAUAAGGAUUCAUACUGCCAUUGGUUUAGCAGCUUUAAAUGUGACAACUAUUCUGAAUUCCGAUUGGUUGGAAUUUAUGCAUAGCUUAUGGGACUAGCUGUUUAUAACAGCAUUACUUUGGAUAUUCGUUUCCCCCCCUGCUGCUACAAGAAAUUAUUGAGCCCUCCCAUCGUUCCUAAUGACCAAAGUAUGCCAGUAGGCAUCUGCAGUGUUACCACUGAUGACCUGUGUCAAAUUAUGCCUGAGUUGGCCCAUGGAUUAAGUGAACUCCUGUCAUAUGAAGGCAAUGUUGAAGAAGAUUUCUAUUCAACAUUUCAGGUGUUUCAAGAAGAAUUCGGAAUAAUUAAGUCCUAUAAUUUAAAGCCAGGUGGUGAUAAAAUUGCAGUUACCAAUCAAAAUAGGAAAGAAUAUGUACACCUUUAUAUUGACUUUCUUCUCAACAAAUCCAUCUAUAAGCAGUUUGCUGCAUUUUAUUAUGGAUUUCAUAGUGUGUGUGCUUCAAAUGCCCUAAUGCUGCUUCGUCCAGAAGAGGUUGAAAUUCUGGUGUGUGGAAGUCCUGAACUGGAUAUGCACGCCCUGCAGAGAAGUACUCAGUAUGAUGGCUAUGCGAAGACCGACCUGACUAUACGAUACUUUUGGGAUGUUGUGCUUGGAUUUCCUCUUGAUCUUCAAAAAAAGUUGCUACAUUUUACCACAGGAAGUGACAGAGUACCUGUAGGAGGAAUGGCUGAUUUGAACUUUAAAAUCUCAAAGAAUGAAACUUCUACUAACUGGUUGCCUGUGGCCCACACCUGCUUCAAUCAACUUUGCCUUCCCCCCUACAAGAGCAAAAAGGACCUGAAACAGAAACUGAUUAUUGGAAUUUCAAAUUCAGAAGGUUUUGGACUUGAGUAACCUAGAAGACUUGAAAUAUAUUUUAUAUGUAGCAUUCACUUCCCUCUUACUGUGCCUUUAACCUUUUCAUGUUUCUGUCUCAAAACACCUUGACAAAGCUCACCAACUUUAAAAUACUGAUUUUUUUUAAAUCAAAUAUGAAGUAUGUUCAGUAGAGGCAUGGUUUUCUAAAAACACAACACUGCUUGAGUGAGAAAAAGACCAGAUGGCAGAGACAGGUGUGGGUCCAGUCCCUCUUUUUUAUAGCACUUUAUCAUUCUCCAUAAGUAGUUGUCACAGGUGUUCCACUGGGAAAGCAUCGUGCAGUAAAGAAUGCACAGAUGACAGAGUGGAGCCCAGUGGCACCUUGUGCGCUGCUAGCACACGGUAGCAACACAGAUAGCUACAUUAUCAUUAAUGUAAGGCAUGUAGCCAUAUUUUCAUAUAGCGGUUAAACAACAGUAUAAUUGCAAAUGCAAUUUACAGGGUUUUUUGAUAUACUGGCUUUGGUCCUCUAAGAUUCUUUUCAACCAUUGCUGAAAAGCGUGUAAAUAACUACAUAAUAGCCUGAGAAUAAUGGGAUUUUGAUAGUGCCAUUUAUUGCUAAAGAUUUAUUUUUACAAAGUAAAUUCAGGGUUUUAGAUGUGUAUACAGCUUUUACAAAUCAAUAAAGAUGAUUGUACAAGAGUGUAACUAUUUUCAGACUAAUUGGAUUCAAGGUUAUAUUCUUUUACAUAUUGUUAGUCUGCAUGCAUAUGCGCAGUAAGCUAGUUACUUGGAGCACUCUGUAAUAUUUGUAUAAUCAUUUCUUCUUAAGGGUCAGAAUAUUAUAUAGAAAGGAAGUAGAACUGACUAAUCACUGAUAAAUUAAGUCAAUCACAAGCACAAAAAAAGAGAACUGUUUUUAUAUAUACUUUGAUUGAUGUACAAGACUUAUUUCUAAUACUUUUUGAUCACCAGUUGUACUGAAACACUAAUUUUUGGAAAAAAGUAGGAUAAGAUAUUUGACAGAAGUGAAUACAAUAAUAUUUGUGUCCAAAUGACGUAGCUUGGUGUAAAAAUAAAGUUCAACAUUUUGGCCGAAAUGUUUGUUUUCCACUGGAUUCUGAAUAUAGCAAAUUCAAAAGUACCCUUUUUGGAGUUUCUUAAUAAAGUAGCAUGUAAAAGGAAACUGCAUUUUUUAAGUCAGACAGUAAAUGGUUUUCUUUUUAAUUUACAGCAAAUGAAGCAGUUUUAUUAGCAUGUUAUAGAUAUUUCCAAAUCAAGAAUUCUCUAUUAUACUUUGAUAGCUUUCCUUCAGAAAACUCUGAAUAUAUAUUUGCAAUAAUAAUGAAGCCAGCACUUAGUACCAGCACAUGGUUCACAUGCAAAUAAUACUUUCCCAAAAUUUUUUCUGAGUUACACUACUAUCUUAUUACUAUGCUUCCUACACCCCACCAGCAGAAUUCUUUUAGGGUGGAGGAACUAAUCAGCUUGUUCUGCUUUUUUUCUGAAGCCAACUUGUGAAUCUUAGAGGAAAAGGAGUUAGUUAGUUUACUGUUCUCUUGAGACAGAAGUGACUCCGCUUUUCCACUUGGACAUACUAUUUAAAGGAUUUUUCUUACAAUUUUUGGAACACCUAAGAUUUAAAGGCAUGUUGGUUUUGUUUUGUUUGCUCUGUUUUUAAUCCAUAUGCAAAUAAAACUGCUUCUCUCUUAUACUGCUUGAACUAGAAAGUAAGAUUUUAACAUAGGUUACUACUAACUAAUAAGCACAAAAGAAUCAUGUGUAAGAAACCAGAUUUAAGUGUUUUAAAUAAAAUGUAAACAAAGUUUUUAUUUGGUAGAGACGGAAAAAUUGUGUUGGUUUGGUCUGCAUGUUUAAUGAUGUGCUUUGUAUAUCAAUAGCUAUGUCAUUUUUAAAUAAAAGUACACAAGCCAAAUUUUUAAAUGACAGAGUCCAUAAAUAACUGGAAAAUUUUUGUUGUCUGUUGUUGAAAUUUAUAAUCAUUUAUCACUAAAUUGCACAUUGCCUUUAUUUAUUUAUGCUCUGGUUUUGGUUUACAGUGUAAUUAAUACCUCAUUUUUUAAAAGAACCACUACUGUUACAUUUCGUUAAUUUAAACAGCUAGAAAAUUCAUAUAGUUGCUUUUUUUUAUAUAUAAUCUGUUAAUGAAUUCUUGAUUUUUGUAUCUGCCACAGUAAAUUAAAGCAUUGCACAGUAUUUAUCAGUAUUUACAAAAUGUCCUGUCCUUUUUUAAUCUUUCCUUAAUUAAUCAUAUUUUUGUCUGUAUGAUCAGAAGUUUUAACAGUCCCUCUUUUUUGUACAAAUGUGUAUUGUAUUACGUUGUUAAUUUCUGGAUAAAUUUUUUUCAGAUAUUAAAGUUAUAUAAUCAGCCAGGCUUCAGUUCAUUUUUUGAACAUUAGGCAAUGAAUUAAAACCACAAGUUUAAAAUAU